GACGAACGCUGGAGGCGUGCUUAACACAUGCAAGUCGAACGAUGAAAUGGAGCUUGCUCCAUGGAUUAGUGGCGAACGGGUGAGUAACACGUGAAUAACCUGCCCUUAAUUUUGGAAUAACCCAGGGAAACCUGGGCUAAUACCGGAUAAGUAAACCUGUGGCAUCACAUGGUUUUGGAAAGUUUUUCGAUUGAGGAUGGAUUCGCGGCCUAUCAGCUUGUUGGUGAGGUAAUGGCUCACCAAGGCGACGACGGGUAGCCGGCCUGAGAGGGUGAACGGCCACACUGGGACUGGGACACGGCCCAGACUCCUACGGGAGGCAGCAGUGGGGAAUAUUGCGCAAUGGACGAAAGUUUGACGCAGCGACGCCUCGUGAGGGACGAAGGUCUUCGGAUUGUAAACCUCUUUCAGCAGGGACGAAGCGAAAGUGACGGUACCUGCAGAAGAAGCACCGGCUAACUAUGUGCCAGCCGCCGCCGUAA
Molecule: ribosomal RNA, 482 nt
Filed under: uncultured bacterium
Lineage: Bacteria
Description: partial 16S ribosomal RNA
Rfam family: Bacterial small subunit ribosomal RNA
Source: RNAcentral